UUAUUUAAUCCUUCCCUUUUCUUUCUUUUUUUCCUCUCUCUUUUCUUUCUCUCCCCCUUUCUUUUAGCAGCCAUCGAGACCCCUCCCCGACCUCCAUCGCUUCACUGCCGCCUCAGUCACCCAACCUCGUCAGCCGCCAGAUCUGAGUCGAAACUCUCCCAGCCACACCGUCGACCAGCCUCUGCACCGCUUGCCUCUCGCGCCGCUCGCCCUCCUUCGCACUGCUCGUCGCGCCGGCGCUUCCUCCCAGCCACUGAAGUCGACACGAGUCAUAGAUCUGAGAUGCACGUCCUAGCUGUCUCAGUCCCAGAUCCAGCCGCUUGCCUCUACCUUCGUGUCGACUCCGUCGGAAAUCCAGAUCUGAAGCGCCGCCUCGCCGUUCGCGACCCGCACCGCCCCUUUCUCAAUCGGCCUGGAUCCGACUCUCACCAGCGAUGCACCGCUCAAUGGUGAGCUUCAAACGCCCCCACCUUUCUCUCUCUCUGACCCACGAAUCUGUAGCUUGUCGCCUCUGGUUGCGAGUCGUUGCUGCCUAGGUUGUGCGACUCCACUCCGACACCACGUCAAGCAGGAUGUCAUCGCCACUCGCUGGAUCUACUAGUUUGGAUACAAAGUUUGGAGGCAUUUUAAAGUCUUUUUGUGUGCUACCGACAAGAUUUAUGAGUUCAUCAAUUUUGGUAAAAUUUGGGUUCAGUUUGGACAAAUAAAUAGAACUUUGGAACUGGCCUCGAACCAAGCCACGACUUCGGCAAGUUAAAUUUGUGGUCAUUUGAUUUAAUUUGGUUAAUUGGAUUUAGACCCCAAAGAUGAGUUUUAAACUUUGGAUUUAUUAUUUUUGGACUAGGGGUACUAAAUUAAUAUUUGUAAUGUAUGUUAUAGGGUGGAUUCAAAGUCUUCCAAGAGUUGUAAG
Non-coding RNA from Benincasa hispida (wax gourd), 910 nucleotides. The record is from RefSeq and is a predicted model, not a curated record. Lineage: Eukaryota; Viridiplantae; Streptophyta; Magnoliopsida; Cucurbitales; Cucurbitaceae.